UGCGUAGGCGGUUUCGUGUGUCAGAUGUGAAAUCUCACCGAUCAUCGGUGAAACUGCGUUUGAAACUACGAGGCUAGAGUACAGGAGAGGAGAGUGGAAUUCUUGGUGUAGCGGUGAAAUGCGUAGAUAUCAAGAGGAACACCGGUUGCGAAGGCGGCUCUCUGGAAUGAUACUGACGCUGAGGCACGAAAGCUAGGGGAGCAAACAGAAUUAGAUACUCUGGUAGUCCUAGCCCUAAACGGUGUGCAUUUGAUGUAGGUAGGUUUGUCCCUACCUGUGUCGCAGCUAACGCGUUAAAUGCACCGCCUGAGGAGUACGGUCGCAAGGCUAAA
RNAcentral lists this ribosomal RNA (332 nucleotides) under uncultured bacterium. RNAcentral's name for it is "bacterial SSU rRNA". It matches the Rfam family "Bacterial small subunit ribosomal RNA", at positions 568 to 898 of the family's 1533-position model. The record is from RNAcentral.